AAACCAACAGGGAUUGCCUCAGUAGCGGCGAGUGAAGCGGCAAAAGCUCAAAUUUGAAAUCUGGUAGUUCUGCUACCCGAGUUGUAAUUUGUAGAAAACUGUCUUUGUUAGGGUGCCUGUCUAAGUUCCUUGGAACAGGACGUCGCAGAGGGUGAGAAUCCCGUGUGAUGGGUGGCCCGAGCUUUUAAGGCGUUUUCGAAGAGUCGAGUUGUUUGGGAAUGCAGCUCUAAGUGGGUGGUAAAUUCCAUCUAAAGCUAAAUAUUGGCGAGAGACCGAUAGCGAACAAGUACAGUGAUGGAAAGAUGAAAAGAACUUUGAAAAGAGAGUGAAACAGUACGUGAAAUUGUUGAAAGGGAAGGGUAUUUGAUCCGACAUGGGAUUUACUCAUCAUUGCUCCUUGUGGGUGGUGCUCUGGGUUUUUUCUGGGCCAGAAUCAGUUUGUGUGGCAGGAUAAAGGCGUGAGGAAGUAGCUCUUCUGGAGCAAUAUAACUCAUGUUAAUACUGCCUAUGCGGACUGAGGAAUGCG
Molecule: ribosomal RNA, 526 nt
Filed under: Kregervanrija fluxuum
Lineage: Eukaryota; Fungi; Ascomycota; Pichiomycetes; Pichiales; Pichiaceae
Description: partial large subunit ribosomal RNA
Rfam family: Eukaryotic large subunit ribosomal RNA
Source: RNAcentral